AUGGAUGGUGACUGUGGUUCAAAACCACACAAAUUGCCAUUACAAUACUUAAAAGAUAUCACAAAGAACUUCUCGCGAGUACUUGGGAAAGGUGGUUUCGGUGUGGUAUAUGAGGGCGUGCAACCGAAUGGGGAAAUAGUUGCUGUGAAGAAGCUUUUGAACCCAAUGUCACAAAAGCAAUUUGAGAAUGAGGUUGAUCUUCUGAUGAGACUUGAGCAUCCAAAUAUAGUACGAUUAGUAGGCUACUGCUAUGAAAUAGAAAACGAACACUUCCCUCUCAAUGGGAAAUACGUUUUUGCUGGGAAGGCAGAAAGUUUGCUUUGCCUGGAGUAUCUGCCUAAUGGAAGUCUUGACGAGUUUCUUUCAGAUUCAGAUAAAUCUUCUCGACUUGAUUGGCACACACGCUACAAAAUAAUUGAGGGGACCUGCAGUGGUUUACAGUACCUUCACGAGCAAACUGACGGGCCUAUCAUUCACUUAGAUCUAAAACCCGCUAACUUACUGCUCAAUGAUGCUUUGGAGCCCAAACUUGCAGACUUUGGUCUGUCACGUCUUCUUGAUCAACAAGGAACUGUGUGCACUAUGGAAGUUAACGGGACAUUAGGAUACAUGCCCCCAGAAUACCUACAAGGUAUACUCGGAACUAUGUCAGAUAUAUUCAGUCUGGGUGUAAUAAUCUUGGAGGUAGUAACAGGAGAAAGGAAGUACCCAGAUAAUAUUCCUCCUUUGGAGGAAUUCAUUGAGACUGAGCUUGAAAAAUGGAGAGAUACGCUGUAG
RNAcentral lists this ribosomal RNA (777 nucleotides) under Triticum aestivum (bread wheat). Its description in RNAcentral is "partial small subunit ribosomal RNA". Lineage: Eukaryota; Viridiplantae; Streptophyta; Magnoliopsida; Poales; Poaceae. The record is from RNAcentral.